Molecule: non-coding RNA, 194 nt
Organism: Pseudomonas putida
Lineage: Bacteria; Pseudomonadati; Pseudomonadota; Gammaproteobacteria; Pseudomonadales; Pseudomonadaceae
Source: Rfam
CAGCAGGGCCGCACGUAUUCCAAAUCUGUUUAAAAAACGAUCAACCCUUGGUGGAAUCGCGGCGAACCUGACCAAUACUUGAGGUGUUGGCGCGACGCAUCCCCCCAAGUGACGCGCCGAUAAGGGUGAACACGGACCGCUCGCCUUUGUUUUACUCCUAAUGGUCUUAACCCGGAUUCCCCCCCAGAACCCGG